AUGGAAUUUCCUGUUUUCCUAGAUUUUCCUUUCCUUCAACAUGCUAGGUACUUGAAGUAUAUUUCUUUCUUGUUGUUGGACCUAUUAUACAUGGUUGUGAUUUCAAAACCAACUCUUCUUGCAUAUUUAUUGUAGAAAUUGUACACAUCAUUAGCUAAAUUGAACUCUAUUCUAAUGUGAGGAUCAAUAUAAUCAUUGUCUGUAUUUGGGAUAGUAGGAGAAGGUGCAUUCUUUUGAAUAACACCAGCAACCCCCAUCCAACUAAUCUUGUUGGAUAUUUUUUAGAUCUAUAAUUUCAACAUCAUCAGUAGAAAUCUCUAUACAAGAUCAAUAACAUCGAUGUUAAUAGUAUUAGGUGAUAUUUUCUCUAGAGGAUAUUAAUAAUUGCAUAAUGCAUUGGCUAAAAUAUGGCACCCAGAGAGUGAUAAUAUAGUUAGGAGAUAAAAAAUUUCUAAAAAUAUUAGAUUUGAACUUAUGACACCCCUUCAUAAAAAUAAGACACCACUUCAAAAAUUUAUUACACCCUGACACAAAAAGAAAAAUUGAAGGUUUUGAUUCUCUUAUCAGGACUUUCCAUCAUCCGUUGGCUAAAAUAUAACUCCCAAGAUAUCAUAAUAU
Molecule: long non-coding RNA, 618 nt
Filed under: Elaeis guineensis (African oil palm)
Lineage: Eukaryota; Viridiplantae; Streptophyta; Magnoliopsida; Arecales; Arecaceae
Description: long non-coding RNA (EGUI_LNC070648)
Source: RNAcentral